This 301-nucleotide ribosomal RNA is filed under the name uncultured bacterium. RNAcentral describes it as "partial 16S ribosomal RNA". It matches the Rfam family "Bacterial small subunit ribosomal RNA", at positions 509 to 807 of the family's 1533-position model. The record is from RNAcentral.
CAGCCGCCGCGGUAAUGCGUAGGGUGCGAGCGUUAAUCGGAAUUACUGGGCGUAAAGCGUGCGCAGGCGGUUUUGUAAGACAGGCGUGAAAUCCCCGGGCUCAACCUGGGAAUGGCGCUUGUGACUGCAAAGCUAGAGUGCGGCAGAGGGGGAUGGAAUUCCGCGUGUACCAGUGAAAUGCGUAGAUAUGCGGAGGAACACCGAUGGCGAAGGCAAUCCCCUGGGCCUGCACUGACGCUCAUGCACGAAAGCGUGGGGAGCAAACAGGAUUAGAUACCCCUGUAGUCCCUGUCUCUUAUAC